RNAcentral lists this ribosomal RNA (464 nucleotides) under uncultured bacterium. RNAcentral's name for it is "bacterial SSU rRNA". It matches the Rfam family "Bacterial small subunit ribosomal RNA", at positions 331 to 792 of the family's 1533-position model. The record is from RNAcentral.
CCAGACUCCUACGGGAGGCAGCAGUGAGGAAUAUUGGUCAAUGGCCGGAAGGCUGAACCAGCCAAGCCGCGUGAAGGACGAAGGUGCCAAGCAUUGUAAACUUCUUUUGUCAAGGGACAAAAUCAGGCUCGAGAGCCUGACCGAGGGUACUUGAAGAAAAAGCAUCGGCUAACUCCGUGCCAGCAGCCGCGGUAAUACGGAGGAUGCGAGCGUUAUCCGGAUUUAUUGGGUUUAAAGGGAGCGUAGGCCGGUCUUUAAGCGUGCCGUGAAAUUUUGUGGCUCAACCAUGAGAGUGCGGCGCGAACUGGAGACCUUGAGUGCGCGGAAGGCAGGCGGAAUUCGUGGUGUAGCGGUGAAAUGCUUAGAUAUCACGAAGAACCCCGAUUGCGAAGGCAGCCUGCCGCAGCGUUACUGACGCUGAAGCUCGAAAGCGCGGGUAUCGAACAGGAUUAGAUACCCUAGUA